Molecule: ribosomal RNA, 138 nt
Filed under: uncultured bacterium
Lineage: Bacteria
Description: partial 16S ribosomal RNA
Rfam family: Bacterial small subunit ribosomal RNA
Source: RNAcentral
UAAGGGAUAUUGGUCAAUGGGGGAAACCCGUGAACCAGCAACGCCGCGUGAGGGAAGACGGUUUUCGGAUUGUAAACCUCUGUCCUCUGUGAAGAUGAUGACGGUAGCAGAGGAGGAAGCUCCGGCUAACUACGUGCC